GGGUUGCGCUGGGGUGGGUGUCCAGCGCUGUAGGAGGAACGCGGUGGGAGGAAGGCUUGCGGGCGUGCGGACUCGGCUUCGGGCCGAGCGCUUUGAAGAAUUUUGCAGAACCCUGCUACCUACAGACUCUGCCAUGGAUGUCAUGUAAAGAAACCCCGGAUGUAGUAACGGACAAAACAUGAGUCAGUUUGUGUUGUGGCAUUCAGAUCUGAACACACUGGGAGAGAAGUGAUUCUGAAUGGAGAAGACGUAGGACCGGUCAGUGGUAGGAUGGACUGUGCUUGGAAGACAGGCACCUGGAGCUCUCAGUUUGGACUAGGCUGGCUGGCAGUAAGCCCCCAGGAUCCUCCUGUUCUCACACUAGAGGCAUCAAACACCAAGAUUGUGAAGACCAUGGCCCAUCCUUAUGCAUUCAAGAGUUGAGUGUGGAUGACUUGGAGCUGAAAAACCCCUUCAGAAGCUUCAUGUGUCACGUGCAUUGAAGCUCUGCAUUAAACCCGCUCGCACAAGUAAAUGCUCAAAGGGACUGAAGGCCAUUAGUACAGUUUUUAUGUCUCUUUCUUUUACUUCAGUUUCUUUAGCCAUCAGGGUCCUUAAUGUUUCUUGUCUUUACUAUAGUAAAGACUCAGAGAAAGGCUACUUUCCAUGAAGUAGUAUGUACUUUCCAUGAAGUAGUAUGUACUUUCCAUGAAGUAGUAUGUACUUUCCAUGAAGUAGUAUGUACUUUCCAUGAAGUAGUAUGUUCUGUGGCCACAUGCCUUUAUUAGUGGAGAUGGGCAUUUUCACUUGAGUGUUUUGUUACAGCCUAUUAAAAAUUUGAUUCAGUAAUGUGAAAGUGAGGAUUAAAUAUCAAAAAAUUACAAUAUUAGAGAAGUAUGUGCUUAACAUGUGCAAAGCCCCAGGUCCAGUCUGCUGCAUUGUGUGGGGUGGUUAGGGGCUGUGUGGAUGUGCAAGGCCCAGGGUCCAGUUUGCUGCAUUAUGUGGGGGUGGCUAGGGGGUGUGUGAUGUGGUAGAAGUGACUUAAGCUGAGACCUUGGGUAAGGAGCCCUAAGAGUUAAUGGCUCUCAGCCCACCACUGCCUCUUACAGCUAUGUGACUGGGAAAGGUCUUCUCUCUGUGUCUUCAUUGGGCUGACCAGCAGCUGUUUAAAUGAAAGAAUUUAGGGGUAUUCACAGUGUGUCUGCAUAGUAAGAGUAACAUUGUUUCCAUUUUUAUAUGUAACAAUGUGUGCAGUUGGUAAUUAAGUCAAAGUUUUCUUUUUCUUGUGUGUUGCUGUCACAAUUUUCAAAGUAUAAUUUUAGCUCUAGUGCCUUUCUACACAUUUUAAUCCUUGGAGAUUCAUUUCAUUCCUUUCAUACCUGUGAGGAAGGAGUUAGUACUAAUAUCAAUGACAUCUGGUUUAAUUGAAAUAUUUUGUGUUUCAUAAAAUAUAGAAAGCCAGGUAGCCUGUGCUACUGUCUAUCCUGAUACUUACAACACUUAAGAAUUGUUCAACUUCAACUUUUUAGGAAAAUUAUGCUAAGUGUUUUACUUUAGGUAUUUUGUUUAUUUUAUUUUGAUGUGUGUGUGUGUGUGUGUGUGUGUAUGAAUGUAUGUAUAAGAGAGGGUGUGUGUGAGUGAGCCUGUGUGUGAGUGAGCAUGCUUGAGUAU
This 1650-nucleotide long non-coding RNA is filed under the name Mus musculus (house mouse). RNAcentral's name for it is "RIKEN cDNA 1300002E11 gene". Lineage: Eukaryota; Metazoa; Chordata; Mammalia; Rodentia; Muridae. The record is from RNAcentral.